Panicum virgatum (switchgrass) is the source of this 711-nucleotide long non-coding RNA. RefSeq lists it as uncharacterized. The record is from RefSeq and is a predicted model, not a curated record. The transcript is spliced from 3 exons. NCBI's taxonomy places the organism in Eukaryota, Viridiplantae, Streptophyta, Magnoliopsida, Poales, Poaceae.
CUUCAUUUCAUUUCUAUUUAUUGAUCCUCUUUUUUACUAGAAAGCUACUAGCCUGGCUUGAUUAAAUUUAAUUCAUUUCAAUGGACUUCUCAUAUCAUUUUGUGUGCAGGAAGUUGCUUGCGUGCACAAUAAUCAAAUGAAAACAAUUAGUUUGUACUCAUUUCGUGAACUUAGCUCUGCCAUCUUUGCAUUUGGAGGAUUUCAUUUGCCUUCUUUCCCAUGUAAAUUCUAAACUUUGCUCACUACUCUUUCUUUUCAGCAAAAAUCUGGAAUAAUGGAGAAGAAGAAUAAGAUAGUAGAAGAGUGACAGAUUGCUGCAACCACUUAGCUCACGAGAUGACCAUCUAUCUGCACUUGUCUUUCCCUUUGUCCUGCUAAUUUAGUAUCAGGUACUGAAAAUUCUCGUAUUUGGUUGAGAUCUAAACUAGGCAUAAGGUAGUGGAAAUGGAUCCUACGAACAACCAAGACGAGUUAAUGCACGACCUCAUUCGUGAUAGUACUGCGUAUGUAGCUCCAGAGUUUGAUGAGGACGAGAACGAUGGCAGCCAAUUUUUAAACUUGCAUUAUCAUGGCGACGAGGACCAAGAUAUUAGUGGGGAGGAAGAAGAAAAUGUCGAGGAAGCCGAGGUAUAAAAGUUUAGUGAUUCUUUCAGGCAUCAGGAUAAACGUUUUCUCAAUAUAUAUGUUAGGAGCAAGAUAUUGUUUGUGACA